Molecule: ribosomal RNA, 235 nt
Filed under: uncultured Candidatus Saccharibacteria bacterium
Lineage: Bacteria; Candidatus Saccharimonadota
Description: partial 16S ribosomal RNA
Rfam family: Bacterial small subunit ribosomal RNA
Source: RNAcentral
CAAGUAGAUAGUGAAAGCCUGGGGCUCAACCCCCUCAACAUUGUCUAAACUGCUAAGCUAGAGGGCGAGAGAGGUAGCUAGAAUUCCUAGUGUAGGAGUGAAAUCCGUAGAUAUUAGGAGGAAUACCGAUGGCGUAGGCAGGCUACUGGCUCGUCCCUGACACUAAGGCACGAAAGCGUGGGGAGCGACCGGGAUUAGAUACCCCGUUAGUCCACGCCGUAAACGAUGGAUGCUA